This 237-nucleotide ribosomal RNA is filed under the name uncultured bacterium. Its description in RNAcentral is "partial 16S ribosomal RNA". It matches the Rfam family "Bacterial small subunit ribosomal RNA", at positions 524 to 761 of the family's 1533-position model. The record is from RNAcentral.
UACGUAGGGGGGCAAGCGUUGUCCGGAUUUAUUGGGCGUAAAGAGCGAGCAGGCGGCAUAUCAAGUUGGACGUGAAAUUUUAGGGCUAACCCUAAAGGGUCGUCCAAAACUGGUAGCUAGAGUGCAGGAGAGGAAAGCGGAAUUCCCGGUGUAGUGGUGAAAUGCGUAGAUAUCGGGAGGAACACCAAUUGCGAAGGCAGCUCGCUGGGACGUAACUGACGCUGAGACGCGAAAGCG